This 114-nucleotide ribosomal RNA is filed under the name Acanthosepion pharaonis. The record is from RNAcentral. Lineage: Eukaryota; Metazoa; Mollusca; Cephalopoda; Sepiida; Sepiidae.
UUACGGUCAAAUCACGCUGAAACACCGGUUCUCGUUCGAUCACCGAAGUUAAGCAUCGUAGAGCCAGGUCAGUACUUAGAUGGGGGACCUCUUGGGAACAACUGGUACUGUAAG